GGCGGGGUAGCACACGUGCAUCAGUGCAUCAGUGAAGCAUGAGACCUGACUUGAAAGUUACUUCAGCCUGAAGACGUCCGUUCGAUUCGGGCCCCUGUCA
Mycena latifolia is the source of this 100-nucleotide non-coding RNA. Lineage: Eukaryota; Fungi; Basidiomycota; Agaricomycetes; Agaricales; Mycenaceae. The record is from the annotation of a GenBank genome assembly.